This 90-nucleotide non-coding RNA is filed under the name Chloroflexota bacterium. RNAcentral's name for it is "Chloroflexi bacterium c-di-GMP sequence". It matches the Rfam family "c-di-GMP-II-GCG riboswitch aptamer". The record is from RNAcentral. Lineage: Bacteria; Bacillati; Chloroflexota.
UCCUGGGUGGGAGGCGAUGACGCGCGGUCGGUCAGCCACGGCCGCCCCCCUGACCGCGCCGAGCCACUGGCGAGCCCGGCCCGCCCCGUC